UGCUCAGUAGGUAGAGCAACUGACUUGUAAUCAGUAGGUCACCAGUUCGAUUCCGGUAGUCGGCACCA
RNAcentral lists this transfer RNA (68 nucleotides) under Vibrio parahaemolyticus. RNAcentral's name for it is "tRNA-Thr". It matches the Rfam family "tRNA", at positions 9 to 71 of the family's 71-position model. Rfam says of the family: Transfer RNA (tRNA) molecules are approximately 80 nucleotides in length. Their secondary structure includes four short double-helical elements and three loops (D, anti-codon, and T loops). Further hydrogen bonds mediate the characteristic L-shaped molecular structure. tRNAs have two regions of fundamental functional importance: the anti-codon, which is responsible for specific mRNA codon recognition, and the 3' end, to which the tRNAs corresponding amino acid is attached (by aminoacyl-tRNA synthetases). tRNAs cope with the degeneracy of the genetic code in two manners: having more than one tRNA (with a specific anti-codon) for a particular amino acid; and 'wobble' base-pairing, i.e. permitting non-standard base-pairing at the 3rd anti-codon position. The record is from RNAcentral. Lineage: Bacteria; Pseudomonadati; Pseudomonadota; Gammaproteobacteria; Vibrionales; Vibrionaceae.